AUGGCGUCCUCUCCUUUUAACCAUAAGCAGGAGAAAGAAACGGAGAAGACAGUGCAUUUACUUCUUAAAACCGUCAGUCCGUGUGUGGUGGACAUCACUCCUGCUUACAUUCUGUCGGCAAGAGCAGCUUUCUGGCUACUCUGGGUGCAAGAUCUGGUCUCAGAAGAAGAUGAAAAGACAGGAAUCUAUGGGAUGUAAUUUUGAGAGGAGUCUCCUGGAAAGAACCCCCCCUCGCUCUCCUCCCUCUAGAUACGUCAGCCAGAGGCUUUUCUUCCCAAGGACAGCCACGAAUCCCUCCUAGCCUGCCGCUUCCAGUCCUCUUCCAGAUUUCCAUGGGCAAGGCAAGGUACUAAGGAUGCAUUCUAACCAGUUGUUAUUUAGUCAUUCCGUCUUGUCCAACUCUCUUGCAACCCUGUGGACAAUAGCCUGCCAGGUUUCUCUGUCCAUGGGAUUUCCCAGGCAAGAAGAAUGAGUUACCAUUUCCUUUUCCAGGGAAUCUUCCUGACCCAGGGACUGAACCCAUGUCUCCUGCAUUGCCAGGUGAAUUCUUUACCACUGAGCCACCAGGGAAGCCUUGCUCUUAACCAGUACUGAGCUGUUAGCUAUUCUCAUUUGAUUCAUUAAAACCAAAAUUGAGCAGAGUUAAUUUGAAGAUCUAAUUGGUUUUAUUCAAUGAUUUGUGAGUAAGACAGCAUUCAUCUAGCAACUAAAAGGGUGCUUGUACAAAAGCUGUUGCACAAAAUGGGAGGUUUUAUAGGAAGAAAAGAAAAGACCCUGAUGCUGGGAAAGAUUGAGGGCAGGAGGAGAAGGGGACUACAGAGGAUAAGGUGGUUGGAUGGCAUCACCGACUCAAUGGACAUGAGUUUGAGUAAACUCCGGGAGUUGAUGAUGGGCAGGAGGCCUGGCAUGCUACAGUCCUUGAGGUCGUAAAGAGUCAACCACGACUGAGUGACUGAACUGAAUAGGAAGAAGGAUGAACUGGGGAGCUAUUAGCAAAAGAAAAGGGAAUUAUUUUUAGGCCAGGGCAUCUUCUUUUUGGGGAAAGGUUAUGGUUCAGGUUUUAUUAUGCAGAUCGCCUCUUCUUCCUCUGAGGGAGAUGGAGAAGGCCCAUGUGAUUACUCCCAAACUCAUUGAUUAAGUUUGCAUUUCUGGGGAGGGUUGAAACUACAGUUAGUUUAGGUAUUAAAUCUAGGUUUGAUAUCAUAAGUUUUUAACAUAACUGACACUGUUUUGGGCCUGUGGUUUUUCUCUUUUACAAUUUUCAUAGCAGUCCUUUGAACAAAACCUCCCUGAGAAUUUUCUGACUCUCCCCCACAAAGUGACAACUGUUGGAUCCAAGGACUGGCUGCCCCCAAAUAUGCCUUGAUGGCAUACUGAUUAUUUUCAAUUAAAGUUUCUUAGGAAAUAACCAAUACAAGAGAGACACUUUGACCCUCCUCUCUAUCUCCCUGAAAAUAGGAAAUCUCCCAUGUGAAAGGUACCUUCCAUGUACCAGGAGGUAGGAGGAGACCUUUAUCACCAGAGACAGAGAACUAGGAAAUAAGAAACCUGUAUUUAAACAAACAAAACAAAACAAACCUUCUUUGAUUUACCAUUCCAAACCCAAACUUUUGAUUAAAUUCUUUACUAAUUAAGAGUCCAAAACCCGAGUUUGUUUGUCCAGUCAAUUCCUCACGAUUUUGUUUCCUUGUAUGGGGGAACAAAACUUACUACCCCCAAAUGUGUCUCUUUAGCAUGCAGAUUCUUUUGAGCUGAAAUCAGUCAAGACACCAAAGACUGAGGAUGAAACUGUGACCUUCCCUCUAAUUGCCUUACUUUGCAACCCCAUGGACUAUAGCCUGCCAGGCUCCUCUGUCCAUGGGGAUUCUCCAAGCAAGUAUAUUGGAAUGGAUUGUCGUGCCCUCCUCCAGGGGAUCUUCCCAACCCAGAGAUCGAACCCAGCUCUCCCACAUUGCAGGCAGAUUCUUUACCAUCUAAACCACUAAAGAAGCCCCAAAGAAUUUAGACAGAGGGCCUAUUCUUAGAAUAGAGCUGUCACCAGUGGUGCCUGUAAAGCAUAUGGGCUAAGUGUGGCGAACUCUGCAGAGCCUAGAGAUCAAGAGUCCAUUCUGUGCCCCAUUGUCUCUUCAGGGGCCAGCAAAUGUUUAUCAAACAUUUGCUUUUCCGUCUCCAUGUGAAUUGCCUUCCUCUGCCUUGAAGUCCCAAACCAGUAUCCCCAACAUCCUCUUUGUCUUUAGCUGAACAUGGUAUUUCAGGUAAGGGUUUUGGCCAUUGUGGUGAGUCUCUACCAUGUAUAUUUGCUUUGCAAACUCUAUAAGCUAGCAGUUAUUGUAUUGCUAUUCUUUGGCUCCAAAGCAAAUCUUUUGGGGGUCAUGUGUGCUUGCUCAGUAGCUCAGUCAUGUCUGACUAUUUUAUGACCCUGUGGACUGUAGCCUGCCAGGCUCCUCUGUCCAUGGGAUUCUGCAGGCAAGAAUACUGGAGUGGGUUGCCAUUUCCCCUUCCAGGGGAUAUUCCCCAGUUCAGUCAGUCAGUUCAGUCAUUCAGUCAUGUCCGACUCUUUGCGACCCCAUGAACUGCAGCACACCAGGCCUCCCUGUCCAUCACCAACU
Bos grunniens (domestic yak) is the source of this 2609-nucleotide long non-coding RNA. The record is from Ensembl. NCBI's taxonomy places the organism in Eukaryota, Metazoa, Chordata, Mammalia, Artiodactyla, Bovidae.